This 400-nucleotide ribosomal RNA is filed under the name uncultured bacterium. RNAcentral's name for it is "partial 16S ribosomal RNA". It matches the Rfam family "Bacterial small subunit ribosomal RNA", at positions 360 to 774 of the family's 1533-position model. The record is from RNAcentral.
AAUCUUCCACAAUGGACGAAAGUCUGAUGGAGCAACGCCGCGUGAGUGAAGAAGGCCUNCGGGUCNUNAAACUCUGUCAUUGGGGNCGAAAAAAAUGACGGUACCCAAUGAGGAAGCCCCGGCUACCUACGUGCCAGCAGCCGCGGUAAUACGUAGGGGGCGAGCGUUGUCCGGAAUUACUGGGCGUAAAGGGUACGUAGGCGGCUAUAUAAGUCAGGUGUGAAAUACCAGUGCUUAACACUGGAAUUGCAUUUGAAACUGUGUAGCUUGAGUGCAGGAGAGGAAAGUGGAAUUCCUAGUGUAGCGGUGAAAUGCGUAGAGAUUAGGAGGAACACCAGUGGCGAAGGCGACUUUCUGGACUGUAACUGACGCUGAGGUACGAAAGCGUGGGUAGCGAACA